CUCAACCCCCGGCUAUAAUUAUCCACCUUUAGCUUUCUUCUUGUAUGAGCACUCUUAUCAGCACAGUCCAAAAAGACAAAACAAGAAGCAAAAACAUGAGCGACCCAAGCGGCCAAUCCUCAACAACAGCUGUCAGAGGAGACAGCAACGGCGGUGGUAAUAGCGGCGGCGGCGGCUCGUUUGCUAGUCAGCCGCAGAGAGCAAAGGUGAGGACGCAAGUGUGGGCUGGAGUUCUCGGCAUCACCAACAAAUAAUUUUGUUAUUCUUUUCACUUUUGACAACAAAAUGUCUAAGUGAAAAAUGGUGGUGGUGAACUGGUGAUUAUUAUGCUUUUGAUCGUUGUUCUUGUUAACUUGAUUGUGUCUAAAUAAACCAGCGAGAUCAUGAUCAUUAUCGUCAUUGUAAUGAGAUUUUGAAAAUUUUUUCUUUCUUUCAACUUCUGCAACUAAUUUUAGAAAACCCUAAACAAAAUUACAAAUAUUUAUUGUGUAGAUAAAAAUUAGAUUUCUCUCAUUUGAAUCGAUGUAUAAAGCGAUAUCAGAAACAAUAUCAUUAAUUGAGGGUCGAGUAGGCAGGGGCGGUCCUUAUAUUUCUGGGGCCCUGGGCGAAUUUUUUUUUUUUGUAAAAGGAUAAUAAAAUCGGGGGCCUAAUUACAAUAAAUUAAAAAAUUAGGGGCUUAUUUGUUAAUAAUUUUUUGCUGAUUUUUUUUUUAAAAAAUAGGGGCCCUAGGCGGUCGUUUCAUUCCGCUCUCCUCAGGACCGCCCCUGCGAGUAGGUACGUUGAUAUCGCUUGCGCAUAAUUUCAAAGUAAACUAAUGAGAAUUUGAUGCUAAGUUAAGUAAGCUACGCUAGUUUCUCAGAAUCACAUGGCCAUUAAAAUCAGAAGGAACGUGCAUUAGUUUAUAUAAAAGACCAUUUUAAAAGAAUUUUUAAAGGUAAAAUAAAACAGACUAUAAAAAUAUUAUAUGGUGUGUGGAGUGUUUUUGAAUGGAAUAAUAUCCACUAUAAGUAAAAAAUAAUAUAUAUAUAUAUAUAUAUAUAUUUUUUAAAUCCACCAUAAGUGCCAUUAUCCACAACAAAUAUUUAUAUAUAUCUCUCUAGCUAAAUUUUCACAGAUUAUGCGAGUUUACGAAGAUGCCUCUACACCAUAUGAAUAUGGUUUAGCCGUUUGUAAUUGAUAAGAAUUCAGUUUGAUAUAGAUGUACAUGUACCAUGAACGUCUACUAAUUUUCUAAAAAUUGCAAAAAAAUUGAUCAGAUGACAAAAUAAACAAUUUGGCAUACAAUGGACUUAAAUAGACCAAGUUGGUCUGGCCAAGUAGGCAACUACGAAUAUUUUAGAACUUUUAGCCUAUUAGAAAAUGCAUUGGGCUAUCAUAUUGGCUAUGUUUGAGCUAGGCUUGUCAGUUGGGUUGGACCACACCCAAAUAGAUAUGUCUAAGUGAGCGUUUUUUUUUCUGGGUUCAAAACACUCACACUCAUAUUCAGCCCACACCCAACAGCACUCAUACCCAGUAACACCCAUCACCCAAUUGAACACCCAAACCCGUCCAUUUAUAAGCAAUUUAAGUAUUAGUCCAAAUCUAUUUUUUUUUUCUGAACACCUACCUAAAUCUGUUUAAAUUCAAAUGGAAAAUUUCUUUAUAAGCAGCAGGGAAGAAAACCUUCAAUCAAAAACGAGAUAAAUAUGAGUUUUAUAAUCUAAACAAUUCAUCAUCAUCAUCAGAUUCAGAGCAAGAGUAAAACGAGAUAGAUUCAGAGCAAGAGUAGAACGAUUCAUCACAGAUUUACAAAACUGGAUCGAAGCUAAAAGCCAAAAACCCACAACAUAGAAACGAGAUGGAUGAUCGAAUCAUGAAACAUACCUGAAAUCGCGAGAAGAAAAAGUAGAAAAUGGAGAAAUCUUGUACGGAUUAAGAGAAUCAAAGCCGGAGAAGACGAAUCGAGAAGCAAAGAUCGAUUUUGCCAGACCGAUCGAGAAGAAAAGUCGAAAAGAAUCGCAAAAUAUUUUUUCCCCAAAUUGACUAAACUCUAGAAAUCAAGUGUUUUGGGCCAACCCAACAUCCAUUUGAUUUGGACCAGUUAACCCAUGGACAAAGUAGGUCUUUAGCCCAGUUAGACCAAAAGUUAUUUGGGUAUUACCAUCACCUACCCAUAUUUGUUUUGAAUGGGUGAACCCAUGAGUGGCCCAACCAAUUGACACCCCUAGUUUGAGCAAACCAUAGAAGGUCUCUAAUUCACAACCGGCUAGAUCCUUCUUGUAAGCGGUGCACCUCGUAGUUUAUACACCAAACAGAUUGAAUUAUUAUUAUUUACAUAUUUCUGCUUUAAUCGAAUUUAAAUUCAAAAUUUUAAUAAUUUAGACCACCUUAUAUAUAAUUUUAAGAAGUAAAUAUAGAUUAAUUAAGAAAAGGCCUAACAUUAUUAAGAUACAAAUACAUGUGAAAGUUUGAAAUAAUCUAUUUAAUGAAAAAAAUAUACCGUACACUUAUUAUGUCUUAAAAAUUGAUAGAUAUAUAUAUAUAUAUAUAAUAUAUACCAAUUUAAAAUUGAAAACAAAAUGUUUAUAUAAAAAUAAACAAAAACAAAACCUCCUGCGGUUGCGCGAGCCAAGAUCUAUUUAUGAUUAAAGAAAAGCAUUUUUGUGGUCCGCUUUAGGCGCUAUACGAAUCACAGACCGGCACUGAUCACAGAUUCACAGUAGACAAACUCUAACAUAACUAACCUUCAUAACGCACACGUACUGUUUCUUGUAUCACUUCACAAACUAAUACAAAACACCCUAUAUCUCCAAUCUCUCCAUUUUUUUACUAUGUACGUGAGCCCAUGACAAUAUCUUGAAAACCACAUCUUCCAUACUAAUAUCAUAACGUGUUUGGUAACGAGGAGAAUAAAAGAGCUCCACUAAGUUGCCAUUUACAAGAUUAAUUCUAAGUUCUAACAGAUAAGUCAGUCAAUAAACUCCACAGCCUCUGCAUGUUUCACUGAAAAAUAGUACUGAGGAAACAAAACUGACUUCACACUUCUUGGUGUCUUCCAUAAAUGUUCGAGAACAUUACAGCGUUCUUAAGUUUGGUGUGUCAAAUUAUAUGAACGUCACCACAACGAAAUCCGAUUAAUUGACAUUAUUAGAAAAAUUAAUUCUAAUCAAGAUUUGUUUGCUAGCAAAUAUAUGUAAUAUUAUAUCUCGAAGUUGUAUAAUCAUGAAACCUCCGUAAGAAGCUCGAUCCAUACAAGCUCAAGCUUCUUACACCACACCUGAUGGAAGACGAAGAACAAGCUGUCCACCCAUUAAACUGUUUCCAGAAAACAGACAGAAGUUCCAAGUCUUUAGGCAUUCAAAGGUUUUCAACAAUAGUGUCUAUAAUUAAGAUCCUUCAUUAAUUUUGUUUUACCUCUGGACAUAGUAAUAACAGAAAUCUGCAAGAAUGAAGGUUUGGACGAUUUCAGAGAGAAGGACCAUUAUAGGCCAUAAUCCAUAUCCUAAUGCAGUCAGUAACCGCCCUCCCGAAUCCAACACCUACACGCAC
This 3528-nucleotide long non-coding RNA is filed under the name Brassica napus (rape). Its description in RNAcentral is "long non-coding RNA (BNAP_LNC005046)". Lineage: Eukaryota; Viridiplantae; Streptophyta; Magnoliopsida; Brassicales; Brassicaceae. The record is from RNAcentral.